GAGAGAGAGAGAGAGAGAGAUGCCCAUGAUCAGAAAGCAAGUUAAUUUUUAAAGUUCUCUUCAUGGAAAUGCAUGAGGAGACAUUCUGAAUCCUGAUUUCUAAUACCUUUACCACUAUUCGAGAAUGACAAUCAUGUACGGAUUUCUUAUUCAUGAUUUCUCAUCUACAUUCCCUACAUUUAGGGGCAUCCAACCGAAUGAGGAAAUGAAUAGUUAAUUCCCAUUCCUAAUCCCCAAAAACCAAAUGGGAACACCAUCUUCAUCAUUGCAGAUAUCCUACUGUUCCAAACUAAAAUUCAGGCAUUCCAAACUGAUAUCAAAACAAUAAGACAACCCAGGAAAAAGUAAACAAUCACAACCAGUUGCUGAUAAAAAAAUCUCAGAACAAUAACAACAAUUCAUUCAAAAUUAUGUUAUAUGCUGAUUCUACGCAGAAAUUGACAAGAAACUCCAAAGCAAUUACAGUCUCAGCUAAGCAAAAAGAGGAUAGACAGCAGUACCCACUUAUUAAGACUGGUAGAAAUCAAAAAUUCACAUCUCAAAACCCUAAGAUAAAAAGAGAGAUAGAGAGAGUGGAGCUUUGUCGACAUUGUACCGAAAGAGCUGAGA
RNAcentral lists this unclassified non-coding RNA (609 nucleotides) under Hevea brasiliensis (rubber tree). Lineage: Eukaryota; Viridiplantae; Streptophyta; Magnoliopsida; Malpighiales; Euphorbiaceae. The record is from RNAcentral.